This 293-nucleotide small RNA is filed under the name Hordeum vulgare subsp. vulgare (domesticated barley). Lineage: Eukaryota; Viridiplantae; Streptophyta; Magnoliopsida; Poales; Poaceae. The record is from RNAcentral.
GGGGGAGAAGAAAGGAAGCAAGAAGAAGACGAGGAAGAAGAAGCAGCAGCCAACCAAAUCUUAGAUACUUCACCAAGAUGGAGCACGGCCACUGAUAUACACACAGCCAGCGCUUGCCUCCACGUGCGUAUGUCGUGUGUGAUGUGACGACCGCCAUGAAUGCAUGAGGUGGUGUGAUUUUCUCACUUCUUCUUUCUUUUCAGUGACGUACUGUGUUUGUGUUUUGCCGAUUUGGCGCGUACUUACGUCGGGCUUAAUUAUCCCGGAGAUGAUGAGAGGAGAGCUGGCCUGGC